This 752-nucleotide long non-coding RNA is filed under the name Marmota monax (woodchuck). Lineage: Eukaryota; Metazoa; Chordata; Mammalia; Rodentia; Sciuridae. The record is from RNAcentral.
AUUUUUUCAGUAAAGUGUUUAAAUGCCUUUUCUUCUGAUUUCUAGUAUUUUUUCUUUAUGUCUUUACAUACCCUUAAUAAAGAAGACAUAAAGUAGCCUAAUGACUGCUGGGAGCCAGUAGAGCUUUGUUAUAUGUAGUUUUGAUUAAUAAUGUAUAGCUAAGAAAUGAAUGAACAUAAUUUGAUUGAUAGUAAAUCUCAAGUCACAACUGCUUGAUAUAUUUUGGUGGAAAAAGUGGGUACAUUAUUAUUAGAUAUGUUGAAAAGCAGAAAAGCGACAUGUAGGGAAAAACGUUUUCUGAGUCUGGAAGCUUUUGUCAUGGUUUUCAAACAUUGAAUGUCUAAAUUAUGCUUAGGAAUUAUCUCACAUAUACUUUAUGUAUGUGUAUUGGCCAGAAGACUUAGAUUCAAGUACUGUCUUAGCUAUAAUUUGUGGCAUUGUGGAUGAUGCAGUUAAACCUUUUGAGGCUUCAAUUUAUUUUAACCUGUUAAUAAGAGUGGUUCUCAAUUGGGGACUGUUGGGGAGUGCUGCUGGCACGUAAUGGGUAGAGGUAGGCAUGCUGCUAAACAUAGUCCAAUAUAUAGGAUAGGUCUCUACAACAAAGAAUUACCUGGCUCCAAAUGUCAAUAAUGCUGCAGUGGAGGAAUUUUAGAUUAGGUGAUCUGCUAGGUACCAAAAAUAUCCUAUUUUGUUUUCAUUUUAAUUAUUGUUCCAUUCUCUGUUUACGUAAGAAUAUUGUGAGUAAAUUUGCC